CACAAUUGCUAUCGCUGCAUCAAUGCAAUGUCGGCUUCGCAUCGGGCUAUAUAAGUACAAAUGUUCAGGCUAAAAUUGUCUUGAAAGGAUCAUCCAUCAUUUUUAAAGAUGCUGAAACUUCUGGUACUCCUUAGUGCUGUCCUCGUGGUGUGUAGUGCCCAGGGCUGUACAAACUGCCAGGUUGAUGGACGUACAUACAGAGGCGGUAGCAAUUUCCAGUUCGACAGAGGAUGCUAUCGUUUCUCCUGUAAGUGCAACUGCGAUGGAUCUUGGAAUUGCCCGAGCAGUUUAACUAUUAACAAAUGUACAGGAGGCGGCAACCAAAAUACAGGCGCUUGUGGAAACUGCCAGGUUAAUGGAGGCUCAUACAGAGGCGGCAGCGAUUUUCAGUUCGACAGAGGAUGCAAUCGUUUCUCAUGUAGAUGCAACUGCGAUGGAUCUUGGAAUUGCCCGAGCAGUUUAACUACUAGCAUAUGUUCUGGAGGCAGAAACACUGCUUGUAGAAAUUGUGAAGCAUAUGGAAGAACCUAUGGGCGUGGGUCCUUUCAAAUGGACCAGGGUUGCUACAGAUAUAGCUGUACCUGUAACUGCGAUGGCUCGUGGAACUGCCCUGCCGGGAAGACUAAAAGUAUUUGCUAACUUUACAAAAAUACGACAGAACAGAAAUUCGCUGUCAUAGGCAUCGUCAUUUACAAAAGAAUUUAACUAACGAUUUGCGACCAAUGAAUGUUAACUAAUCACAAACUUAUCAGUGUUAUAUUUUAAUGACUGUCAAAUAAAAAUAUGGACAUUAUCAAAA
Long non-coding RNA from Magallana angulata, 799 nucleotides. RefSeq lists it as uncharacterized. The record is from RefSeq and is a predicted model, not a curated record. The transcript is spliced from 2 exons. Lineage: Eukaryota; Metazoa; Mollusca; Bivalvia; Ostreida; Ostreidae.